Molecule: long non-coding RNA, 538 nt
Filed under: Elaeis guineensis (African oil palm)
Lineage: Eukaryota; Viridiplantae; Streptophyta; Magnoliopsida; Arecales; Arecaceae
Description: long non-coding RNA (EGUI_LNC057781)
Source: RNAcentral
AAGAGAGCAUCGAUCAACCCUUACCGAAUAAGUAUGUCCUUCACCCUCACUUGCCACAAGGAAAAAUUACUCUUCCCAUCGAAUCGAUUGAUUUUCAUCUUGAUUGAGUCUGUCUUCUCCAUUUUCAAUCUUGAUCACUACCAUCGCAACCUACAUCCUGGUACCAUCUCGCUCUGAUACCACUUCUUGGGGAUGUCUAACUAGGAUACCACCUCCACAGAACUUUUUCGAUAUCACGCAUCGUAGUAGAAAGAAAAAAAAAUAAAAAAUAAUCAAAUAUGUGGAUCAGUCAAAAGUCUCGCCUCCACGGGGCAUGCAAGCUUCACUAUAAGAAAAAAAAAUUUCAAGAAUUCACACCUUCAACCCUCGUACAUCCAAUCUCUCCUUCACAAGAAGCUCUCUCUCAUAAAGGCUCUUUCUCUAGAAAAAUUCUCUGAAUCCCUGAAGUGACCACUAUCUACUGUCUGAUAAUCUACCUGAAGCACUCUGCCUCUGCUCUCUGCCUGCUCCUCUCAAUCUGCUGCUGCUUUGGAUCCUC